This is a long non-coding RNA of Bacillus rossius redtenbacheri, 506 nucleotides long. RefSeq lists it as uncharacterized. The record is from RefSeq and is a predicted model, not a curated record. The transcript has 2 exons. NCBI's taxonomy places the organism in Eukaryota, Metazoa, Arthropoda, Insecta, Phasmatodea, Bacillidae.
CCGGGAAUGAUAAAAUUUCUUCCUGUAGCUGUUGAGAAGUUAGCUUUAAUGAACUGUUCAAGUAAUUUUAACAAUACUAUUUCAGGAACUUCGUAUCAUUUAUUACAUAUAGUAAAUUUAAAAGAAAAUCUUUUUAAAUAUAACAUGGGGAUAUUUGUAUUAAAGCAACUUGGAGGACGAAGAAGAAGAGAACGUCCCCAUGCCGGACGUGAUCGCUCCGUACCAGAACUUCCCGAUAGAGGACGACCAGUUGGACGCUCCAUCAGAGCUCGACUCCGAAGACGAGGAGGAGCCGGGCCGCUGCUGCCGUUUUUGGUCUCAGUUUUGUCGCAUGUUGAACCACUUCUGCGAAUGGUUCAUAACUUACUGCCUGUAAAAGUUAGAACCAGUUGUAAACAUAUUGUUUACUUUUGAGGACCACCGACCAGUAGUCUGACUCGCUAACAAAAAGUCGGGAAAAAUCACAAACAUUUUAAAAUCCUCAAAAUAAAAUGAUGUAAAGGAAA